GCAUAUCAAUAAGCGGAGGAAAAGAAACCAACAGGGAUUGCCCUAGUAACGGCGAGUGAAGCGGCAACAGCUCAAAUUUGAAAUCUGGCGCAAGCCCGAGUUGUAAUUUGUAGAGGAUGCUUCUGGCCAGCGGCCGUUCUAAGUUCCUUGGAACAGGACGUCAUAGAGGGUGAGAAUCCCGUAUGUGACCGGCGCGCAGCCUUUACGUAGCUCCUUCGACGAGUCGAGUUGUUUGGGAAUGCAGCUCUAAAUGGGAGGUAAAUUUCUUCUAAAGCUAAAUACCGGCCAGAGACCGAUAGCGCACAAGUAGAGUGAUCGAAAGAUGAAAAGCACUUUGGAAAGAGAGUUAAAAAGCACGUGAAAUUGUUGAAAGGGAAGCGCUUGCAACCAGACUUCGUAGCGGUGUUUCCGCCGGUCUCUCUGACCGGUCUACUCAUCGUCGCGAGGCCAACAUCGUCUGGGGCCGCCGGAUAAGACCUAAGGAAUGUAGCUCUCUUCGGGGAGUGUUAUAGCCUGUGGUGAUGCGGCGCGUCUCGGGCGAGGUCCGCGCUUCGGCAAGGAUGUUGGCGUAAUGGUUGUCAGCGGCCCGUCUUGAAACACGGACCAAGGAGUCUAACAUCUAUGCGAGUGUUCGGGUGUCAAACCCCUACGCGUAAUGAAAGUGAACGGAGGUGGGAAGCGUAAGCUGCACCAUCGACCGAUCCUGAUGUCCUCGGAUGGAUUUGAGUAAGAGCAUAGCUGUUGGGACCCGAAAGAUGGUGAACUAUGCCUGAAAUAGGGUGAAAGCCAGAGGAAAACUCUGGUGGAAGGCUCGCAGCGGUUCUGACGUGCAAAUCGAAUCGUCAAAUUUGGGGUAUAGGGGCGAAAGACUAAUCGAACCAUCUAGUAGCUGGCUCCUGCGA
This 902-nucleotide ribosomal RNA is filed under the name Exutisphaerella laricina. Its description in RNAcentral is "LSU rRNA". It matches the Rfam family "Eukaryotic large subunit ribosomal RNA", at positions 38 to 963 of the family's 3401-position model. Lineage: Eukaryota; Fungi; Ascomycota; Dothideomycetes; Mycosphaerellales; Mycosphaerellaceae. The record is from RNAcentral.